This 277-nucleotide unclassified non-coding RNA is filed under the name Thelonectria diademata. Its description in RNAcentral is "partial contains 5.8S ribosomal RNA, internal transcribed spacer 2, and large subunit ribosomal RNA". The record is from RNAcentral. Lineage: Eukaryota; Fungi; Ascomycota; Sordariomycetes; Hypocreales; Nectriaceae.
CGCACAUUGCGCCCGCCAGUAUUCUGGCGGGCAUGCCUGUUCGAGCGUCAUUUCAACCCUCAAGCCCCCGGGCUUGGUGUUGGGGAUCGGCACAAGGCGCCGGCACCUUCGGGAGCCGGGAGCCCGCCGUCCCUCAAAUUCAGUGGCGGUCUCGCCGUGAGCGCCCUAUGCGUAGUAGCUAACACCUCGCACUGGGACUCCUCCGUGACCACGCCGUAAAACCCCCGACUUUUUUCUGGUUGACCUCGAAUCAGGUAGGACUACCCGCUGAACUUAA